GACGAACGCUGGCGGCGUGCCUAAUACAUGCAAGUUGAGCGCUGAAGGUUGGUACUUGUACCAACUGGAUGAGCAGCGAACGGGUGAGUAACGCGUGGGGAAUCUGCCUUUGAGCGGGGGACAACAUUUGGAAACGAAUGCUAAUACCGCAUAAAAACUUUAAACACAAGUUUUAAGUUUGAAAGAUGCAAUUGCAUCACUCAAAGAUGAUCCCGCGUUGUAUUAGCUAGUUGGUGAGGUAAAGGCUCACCAAGGCGAUGAUACAUGGCCGACCUGAGAGGGUGAUCGGCCACAUUGGGACUGAGACACGGCCCAAACUCCUACGGGAGGCAGCAGUAGGGAAUCUUCGGCAAUGGACGAAAGUCUGACCGAGCAACGCCGCGUGAGUGAAGAAGGUUGUCGGAUCGUAAAACUCUGUUGGUAGAGAAGAACGUUGGUGAGAGUGGAAAGCUCAUCAAGUGACGGUAACUACCCAGAAAGGGACGGCUAACUACGUG
This 497-nucleotide ribosomal RNA is filed under the name uncultured bacterium. RNAcentral's name for it is "partial 16S ribosomal RNA". It matches the Rfam family "Bacterial small subunit ribosomal RNA", at positions 28 to 507 of the family's 1533-position model. The record is from RNAcentral.